AUUGUAGUCUGCAACUCGACUACAUGAAGCUGGAAUCGCUAGUAAUCGCAAAUCAGAAUGUUGCGGUGAAUACGUUCCCGGGUCUUGUACACACCGCCCGUCACACCAUGGGAGUUGGAAGCACCCGAAGUCUGUGACCUAACCGAAAGGGAGGAGCAGCCGAAGGUGAAGCCAGUGACUGGGGUGAAGUCGUAACAAGGUACC
RNAcentral lists this ribosomal RNA (204 nucleotides) under uncultured bacterium. RNAcentral's name for it is "partial 16S ribosomal RNA". It matches the Rfam family "Bacterial small subunit ribosomal RNA", at positions 1297 to 1500 of the family's 1533-position model. The record is from RNAcentral.